This 483-nucleotide ribosomal RNA is filed under the name uncultured bacterium. Its description in RNAcentral is "partial 16S ribosomal RNA". It matches the Rfam family "Bacterial small subunit ribosomal RNA", at positions 28 to 523 of the family's 1533-position model. The record is from RNAcentral.
GACGAACGCUGGCGGCGUGCUUAACACAUGCAAGUCGAACGAUGAAGCCGGAGCUUGCUCCGGUGGAUUAGUGGCGAACGGGUGAGUAACACGUGAGCAAUCUGCCCUUGACUCUGGGAUAACUGCGGGAAACUGUAGCUAAUACCGGAUACGACACCUUGGGGCAUCCCAGGGUGUGGAAAGAAUUUCGGUCAAGGAUGAGCUCGCGGCCUAACAGCUAGUUGGUGAGGUAAUGGCUCACAAAGGCGACGACGGGUAGCCGGCCUGAGAGGGUGACCGGCCACACUGGAACUGAGACACGGUCCAGACUCCUACGGGAGGCAGCAGUGGGGAAUAUUGCACAAUGGGCGAAAGCCUGAUGCAGCAACGCCGCGUGAGGGAUGAAGGCCUUCGGGUUGUAAACCUCUUUUAGCAGGGAAGAAGCGAAAGUGACGGUACCUGCAGAAAAAGCACCGGCUAACUACGUGCCAGCCGCCGCGGUAA